AUACUUAACCUCGCUAGGGGAGAACACCAUGAUCAAGCAGGUGUUUUCCCAGGCGAGCUCAUCCUUUGCACUCCGGGUGGCUGACACCUGCGAUUUCCCCAAAUGCGGGAAACUCGACUGCCAUAAUUUGUGGUUAGGCUGGGGGACUUGCGUUCGCGCUCUCCCCUG
This 168-nucleotide small nuclear RNA is filed under the name Malurus cyaneus samueli. Its description in RNAcentral is "U1 spliceosomal RNA (ENSMCSG00000006101.1)". It matches the Rfam family "U1 spliceosomal RNA". Rfam says of the family: U1 is a small nuclear RNA (snRNA) component of the spliceosome (involved in pre-mRNA splicing). Its 5' end forms complementary base pairs with the 5' splice junction, thus defining the 5' donor site of an intron. The record is from Rfam by way of RNAcentral. Lineage: Eukaryota; Metazoa; Chordata; Aves; Passeriformes; Maluridae.